GCGGGGGUAGCUCAGUUGGUUAGAGCGCCAGAUUGUGGCUCUGGAGGCCGUGGGUUCAAAUCCCAUCACUCGCCCCA
RNAcentral lists this transfer RNA (77 nucleotides) under Tistrella sp. RNAcentral's name for it is "tRNA-His". It matches the Rfam family "tRNA". Rfam says of the family: Transfer RNA (tRNA) molecules are approximately 80 nucleotides in length. Their secondary structure includes four short double-helical elements and three loops (D, anti-codon, and T loops). Lineage: Bacteria; Pseudomonadati; Pseudomonadota; Alphaproteobacteria; Geminicoccales; Geminicoccaceae. The record is from RNAcentral.